This 769-nucleotide ribosomal RNA is filed under the name uncultured bacterium. Its description in RNAcentral is "bacterial SSU rRNA". It matches the Rfam family "Bacterial small subunit ribosomal RNA", at positions 28 to 776 of the family's 1533-position model. The record is from RNAcentral.
AUUGAACGCUGGCGGCAGGCCUAACACAUGCAAGUCGAGCGGCAGCGACUUAACUGAACCUUCGGGGAACGUUAAGGGCGGCGAGCGGCGGACGGGUGAGUAAUGCCUGGGAAUAUACCCUGAUGUGGGGGAUAACUAUUGGAAACGAUAGCUAAUACCGCAUAAUCUCUUCGGAGCAAAGAGGGGGACCUUCGGGCCUCUCGCGUCAGGAUUAGCCCAGGUGGGAUUAGCUUGUUGGUGAGGUAAUGGCUCACCAAGGCAACGAUCCCUAGCUGGUCUGAGAGGAUGAUCAGCCACACUGGAACUGAGACACGGUCCAGACUCCUACGGGAGGCAGCAGUGGGGAAUAUUGCACAAUGGGGGAAACCCUGAUGCAGCCAUGCCGCGUGUGUGAAGAAGGCCUUCGGGUUGUAAAGCACUUUCAGUAGGGAGGAAGGUAGUGUAGUUAACACCUGCAUUAUUUGACGUUACCUACAGAAGAAGCACCGGCUAACUCCGUGCCAGCAGCCGCGGUAAUACGGAGGGUGCGAGCGUUAAUCGGAAUUACUGGGCGUAAAGCGCAUGCAGGCGGCCUGUUAAGUCAGAUGUGAAAGCCCGGGGCUUAACCUCGGAAUUGCAUUUGAAACUGGCAGGCUAGAGUCUUGUAGAGGGGGGUAGAAUUUCAGGUGUAGCGGUGAAAUGCGUAGAGAUCUGAAGGAAUACCAGUGGCGAAGGCGGCCCCCUGGACAAAGACUGACGCUCAGAUGCGAAAGCGUGGGGAGCAAACAGG